Molecule: small nucleolar RNA, 94 nt
Organism: Phodopus roborovskii (desert hamster)
Lineage: Eukaryota; Metazoa; Chordata; Mammalia; Rodentia; Cricetidae
Product: small nucleolar RNA U83B
Exons: 1
Source: RefSeq, a predicted model, not a curated record
GCUGUUCAGUGAUGAUCCUCUGGAAUAUGCGCUCAGCACAGCGCCUGAGUGGAACUGAAGAACUAUUCCCUGUUGCCUUCCUUCUGAGAACAGC